UAUGUAAGAUGAACAUUGGCUUGGUCCAGAAAGGCAGGGCCUCAGUGACAUCAAUCAACGUAUGUAAGAUGAACACUGGCUUGGUCUGGAAAGGCGGGGCCUCAGUGACAUCAAUCAUCAUAUGCAAGAUGAACAUUGGCUUGGUCCAGAAAGGCGGGACCUCGGUCCAGAAAGGCGGGACAACUUGAAGCCAAGACAGGAAGCAGGAAAGGGGCUUCCAGGUCACAGCACAAAGAGGCAAAGCAGAAGCAGCAGACAGGACGUCAAAGAACCAGUGCAUGGCUGCGCCGGGCCCCGGGGCUUCCCACACGGGUUACUGUCAUCCUUCCGAAUCACUGGACUUGAAGCCCAGCAUGUUGCUGAGUUUUGCUCCAGAGACAAUUGCCAUUUGUUAUUUAAGUGACAAAGGUAACGCAUGCCGGCGGGAAGCAAUGCACAAAAUGUGAAGCUCAUACAGGAAGCUUAUUGGAGCCUCACAUCUGGAAAGCACUACAGACCGCACCGCAGACCGCACGACAGACCGCACCGCAGACCGCUCUACAGACCGGCACAUGCGCAACCCUGCCCGGCUGCUCUCCCUCCCUGCCUGGCUGCUCUCCCUCCCUGCCCAGCUGCUUUCUCUCCCUGCUGUGACCAGGCCAUUUUGGUGCAUUAUCUGUGCUCAGCGCUUUCCUCCUCUAUUUGAUGACUUUUCCAGGCAGUGGGCCUGGGGGUGAAGUCCCCUUGACCUUUGGGCUCCACCCAGGCACCUGGAGCCCCUGGGCUCUUCCCCUGCAGGGAACUGUUAGCAUCCUGCACUUUGCCCUCCUCCCAUCCUGCCCACGGGAGAUGCAGCGUGAACUCCUAGUCCUCAAAAAGGCUUAAAAAUUGCUCUACAUUUUA
Molecule: long non-coding RNA, 882 nt
Organism: Homo sapiens (human)
Lineage: Eukaryota; Metazoa; Chordata; Mammalia; Primates; Hominidae
Exons: 4
Source: RefSeq, a predicted model, not a curated record